GUAAGGUUAGUUUAAAUUAAAAUAGUAAUUUGUGGUUUUACUGAUAGAUUGUGUUUUUCUACUUUACU
This 68-nucleotide transfer RNA is filed under the name Idiosepius hallami. RNAcentral describes it as "tRNA-His". Lineage: Eukaryota; Metazoa; Mollusca; Cephalopoda; Idiosepiidae. The record is from RNAcentral.